CAUGUCAAGGCAAGGCCCCCCCGAUCUCUAUCAGUUUUCAUGUGAAUCCUCAAAUUAUCCCUUCGAUAGAAGCUUUUAUAACAAGACCGGCAUGAAAAAGGCUUCUCAGCUGUAUGAGUUUUCUUGUGCUCAUUUAAACUAUUGUACUAUUUUGUGAGAAACCUUUUCUGCAAAAUUCACAUGAAAAAGGCUUCUCACCUGUAUGAAUUUUCUUGUGGAUUUUUAAAUCACAAAUUUGUGAGAAACCUUUUCCGCAUGUUUCACAUGAAAUAUUCUCACCAGUGUGGGUUCUGUAAUGUUUUUUCAACAUCCACUGUCGUGUGUAACAUAUUCCA
Molecule: long non-coding RNA, 335 nt
Organism: Xiphophorus couchianus (Monterrey platyfish)
Lineage: Eukaryota; Metazoa; Chordata; Actinopteri; Cyprinodontiformes; Poeciliidae
Exons: 2
Source: RefSeq, a predicted model, not a curated record